This 140-nucleotide microRNA precursor is filed under the name Hevea brasiliensis (rubber tree). Its description in RNAcentral is "miR2118 stem-loop (hbr-MIR2118)". Lineage: Eukaryota; Viridiplantae; Streptophyta; Magnoliopsida; Malpighiales; Euphorbiaceae. The record is from miRBase by way of RNAcentral.
CUGAUAUGGAAUGGGAGAAUGAGCCUCCCAGAGGCGAGUGGAAAUGGGUGGAUGGGAGUGAACUUAAACCAGUCUGUGAUUGAGGUCGUUCCCAUGCCACCCAUUUCUAUUGUUUCUGGGGGUUUCUCCCUUUCCCAUCG